Molecule: long non-coding RNA, 482 nt
Filed under: Selaginella moellendorffii
Lineage: Eukaryota; Viridiplantae; Streptophyta; Lycopodiopsida; Selaginellales; Selaginellaceae
Description: long non-coding RNA (SMOE_LNC001329)
Source: RNAcentral
GUACACAAAAACAUAUUUUUUUCGUCUCGACUCAUUUGGAAACUUGUCCCAGCCUCUUGGAGAUCUUGGAGCUCUUGUAGCUGACGAAACCGGGCGGGCGGACUUCGCAGGAACAAAGACCGGCUUGCGAGUCACGGACUUGAUCGGCCGAGCUCUCGCCAUCUACGCCACCGCUGACAAAUCCGUCCACGGCAUCGCCGCCGCCGUAAUUGCUCGAAGCGCUGGAGUCGGGGAGAACUACAAGAAGCUGUGCUCUUGCGAUGGAACCAUCAUCUGGGAAUCGUGAAGUUCUUGCAAACAAAAAAAUUCUUGUAGCUAUGAUCGACUAGUACAGGAACCUGUGCUCUUGCGAUGGAACUAUCAUUUGAAUCGUGAAAGAAGAAAAAUUCUCGUAGCUAUGAUCUUGCGAUAGAACUAUCAUCUGGGAAUCGUGAAGUUCUUGCUAAGUGAAUCGAAAAAAUUGGAGAUAGUGUUACUUUAGC